UACGUAGGGUGCGAGCGUUGUCCGGAAUUACUGGGCGUAAAGAGUUCGUAGGCGGUUUGUCGCGUCUGCUGUGAAAACCCGAGGCUCAACCUCGGGCCUGCAGUGGGUACGGGCAGACUAGAGUGCGGUAGGGGAGAUUGGAAUUCCUGGUGUAGCGGUGGAAUGCGCAGAUAAUCAGGAGGAACACCAAUGGCGAAGGCAGAUCUCUGGGCCGUAACUGACGCUGAGGAGCGAAAGCAUGGGGAGCGAACAGG
Molecule: ribosomal RNA, 254 nt
Filed under: uncultured bacterium
Lineage: Bacteria
Description: partial 16S ribosomal RNA
Rfam family: Bacterial small subunit ribosomal RNA
Source: RNAcentral